This is a long non-coding RNA of Raphanus sativus (radish), 2841 nucleotides long. RefSeq lists it as uncharacterized. Lineage: Eukaryota; Viridiplantae; Streptophyta; Magnoliopsida; Brassicales; Brassicaceae. The transcript has 7 exons. The record is from RefSeq and is a predicted model, not a curated record.
AGAAAAAAAUCAGAUUAGGAAAGCGUCGACUGGAUCUUUAACAUAGAUCGUGGCGAUUGUUGAAAAGAAAAAAAAGAAAAAGUAACAAAAAUAGCAAUCCUUCUUCUUCCUCUUCUUCGCUCCUCCUCUCAGACGGAGGACCAGGUGAAGCGUGGACUCCUUUUGGAUGUUGUAGUCGGCGAGAUUGCGUCCAUCCUCUAGCCGUUUCCCGGCGAAAAGGAGGCGCUGCUCCUCCGAUGGGAUCCCUUCUUUGUCUUCUAUCUCGAUUUGAUGUUCUCGUAUGUGUCAGAGGAACCGACCUGGACGGUUAUCGUCUUCUCCGUUAGGGUUUUCAUGAAGAUCUGCGACGGGGAACAAACAGUAGAAACAGAAGAAAGAGAAAAAAUCGAGAUAGAAUGUCUUGUUCAUUUCUGUAUUAAAAGAUAUCUUUGAGAAAGUGAAAAGAAGAUUUGAAAGACAACGAAACGGUAAAUGGAGACAGAAGCAGCGAGAAGUUAGAUAAAUUUAUGGAACAGAGGAUGGAAGGAGCAGAGAAGAAACAGAGACAGAUGAUGUCUUUGACGGAGAAACAGAAACAGAGACAGUUAAACAAUGAUAAAGGCAUGAGGCAAAAUCAUGAUUUAGUCAUUGGUGCUAUUGAAGAUGUAGGGUAAUAUUCAAGAACUUGAAAGCCAGUAGGCCCAGUACAUUGCACGGAAAUCCGAAGGCUCUUUCAAUAUCAUUCCCGUGUUGAACCCUCUCUCAAACUUCAGAACAAAGCUGAGAGUUGAAUAAUGAUGAAAGACAUGACCCAAAAUCAAACAAAAGCUUUCGAGUACACAGAUAAGUCUCGUACUAUGGAUUUAUUUGAUUGAGUUAACAAUGAGAAACAGUAUAUGUUUUACAUUGUAGUGAGCUGACUUAAUUAAGUAUACAAAUCAUGUACAGGUGGUGCAUUUAGGAUUGCUUACAUUGUGAGCACCAAGAUAAACAUCUUUUGGAAAGUCUGAGACAGCAGCUCCGAGAAGUUACAUAAAUAAAAUCUACGGAACAGAGGAUUGAAGGAGCAGAGAAGAAGCGAUUCAGAGUCCUUCUCUUAAAGUGUCGUUCUUGUUGACAGCAGCCGUUUGCAUGAGCAAGUUGAAUGAGAUAAUGCUCAGUCAGGAACAUCUUAAGCCUUCUGACAUAUCACAAAGAGUCCGAAGACGAUGUGAAUUCACAACUAACUACAGAUUACAUUCCUUUAUGAAGUAUCUAUCUACAAUAAACAGAUAAGUUUCCGAACAUUGCUUUAUUUGUUUGGGUUAUACAUGAGAAUAGGUAUAUGUUUUAUACUUAGUGAGUUGACUUAAUAGAUACAAUUCAUGUACAGGUCUUCAUUAAAAGAAUUAGAGAAAGAAGCUUUAUACAUUUGAAGGACAUGGGACACAGACAUGACUGCCCAAAAAUAGAAACCAAUGUAAGUCAAUUUUGAAAGCUUAAAAUUGUAGUAAUUAGGCUUCGCACUGAAACUGGUAGUAAAGUCAAUUUUUGAUGACUGUUGGUUGCAGUAUACGUGUUUCCUAGUUUCGAGGCUUGAAAUUUUGAUGUGUAAACUUUGAUUAGAGAUGAAGCUGGCAUCUGAUUAGAGAUGAAGCUGGUCAUGUUAUGUUUUGAAAUAUAAAAGUUUUGUAGAAGUUCAAAUAUGCUUGUUUGAAACAGUGACUGUUUGGUAUUGAAAUCACCCUUGAUUUCAAUCAUUUUAAUAUUUUUAAUAUAAAAUGCAAAAGUUUUGUCACAUAUAAUAAAACAUAUUGCUAAGCAGAUAAAAAACACAGACACAUUCAAGUGCUUUAUUAUACAACAUAGAGCACACAUCUAGAGGAUUACAUAGUGAAUGAAACAGAUUACAACAUAUUGAACGUAAGCAACAUUACAGAAAACAUAGGAAAACCAUUGAUAAACCCUUCCAUUUCUUAUUUUUCACGAGUAACAAAGGAAAACCAUUGAUAAACCCUUUUGUAGUAGUAACACUCAUCGCAAACUAAAGUUAUGUCAUCUUCGGGAUGGCACAUUCUACGUGGUCGAAGGUUAACCAUCUCCGCAUAGUCAUCCUGAGUGAAACUACACGGAAUUUCACUUAGGGAGUUCUUGAUUCUCUCCCAGCUUUGAUUGGACCUCGAUGGUUUUUCCAACCAUCGAAGUUUAUCCAAGUAGAUUCGCCCCUUCCAAUAGUGACCACGAACCAGCAUUAACAAACCGUAAAGGAACGUACCGUCAUCGUUUUUCCCAAUGGAAGCUUGUCGGAAAUGACGGAGUCCUGCACGUUGCUCAUUCUCUAUGUGACGGAGUCCGCUCAGCAGUGCAUUAGAAAAUCUUGAUUAUCAUGAAAGUGUUAGGAUGUGUGAUUGUACCUCUAAACUUUCCAAGUUUAGCAAAUCUGAAAAGCAAAGUAAUCAUUUCAUCGUCUUGAUUGCAUGCAGAAUGGAGGAUAUCGCAGAGGUUUCCCCAUACGCAGCAUGGUAUUCUUGAAUCACUAUGGCGCAAGUCAGAAGCCCAGGGGUUAUUGGUUGUGCGGUAAGCUCCUCCUGCAGGCCUAACAUGAAAGUUGCGGAUGUUGCGCCACACUCCAACCAGAAUAUCACUGGCUUUACUCUCAAUGUAUAGGAUUUGAAAAAGUUUUGCAAGACAAACAUUUGAAGGAGAAGAGAUUCAAGGUAAAUGAGAUGAUAUAUUUGGUGAUGGGCUGGGAUUAGAAUUAGUAUGGGCUGGGGUAUUUAAUUGAAUAAGCAGAUGAUAUAUUUUGUGAUGGGCUUGUUUAGAUUUCAUUGGAAUUAUGUUUUGGGCUUUGUAAAUGGACGAUUUUUUUUUUAAAAAAAAAGA